Molecule: long non-coding RNA, 157 nt
Organism: Hyaena hyaena (striped hyena)
Lineage: Eukaryota; Metazoa; Chordata; Mammalia; Carnivora; Hyaenidae
Exons: 2
Source: RefSeq, a predicted model, not a curated record
CCACACAAGCAGGAUGACGCUGGCCGAUGACGUGACCCUGGAUGACUUGAUCAUGGCUAAAGAUGACCUCUCCGGGGCCGACAUCAAGGCAAUCUGUACAGAAGCCGGUCUGAUGGCCUUGAGAGAACGCAGGAUGAAAGUAACAAAUGAAGACUUU